GACGAACGUUGGCGGCGUGCUUAAUACAUGCAAGUCAACUGAAGCAGUGGUAGCAAUCUCGCUGUGGAGGUGGCGCACGAGUGAGUAACACGUAGGUAAUCUGCCUUCAGGUCUGGCAUAACUCCGGGAAACCGGGGCUAAUAGCAGAUGAUGCAGCGGCUCGACAUCGAGACAGUUGUUAAAGCUAUGGCGCCUGAAGAUGAGCCUGCGUCUGAUUAGCUAGUUGGCGGGGUAACGGCCCACCAAGGCAACGAUCAGUAGCUGGUCUGAGAGGAUGAUCAGCCACACUGGAACUGAGACACGGUCCAGACUCCUACGGGAGGCAGCAGUAAGGAAUAUUGCUCAAUGGGAGAAAUCCUGAAGCAGCAACGCCGCGUGAGGGACGAAGGGCUUUUGCUUGUAAACCUCUGUAGUGAGAGAAAAAAAUCCCAAUCUUUGGGACAUGAUGGUAUCUCAAAAGUAAGCCCCGGCUAACUACGUG
This 481-nucleotide ribosomal RNA is filed under the name uncultured bacterium. RNAcentral describes it as "partial 16S ribosomal RNA". It matches the Rfam family "Bacterial small subunit ribosomal RNA", at positions 28 to 507 of the family's 1533-position model. The record is from RNAcentral.